AUACGUAGGUGGCAAGCGUUAUCCGGAAUUACUGGGUGUAAAGGGAGCGCAGGCGGGAGAGCAAGUCAGCGGUGAAAUGUAUGGGCUUAACCCAUGAACUGCCGUUGAAACUGUUGUUCUUGAGUGGAGUAGAGGUAGGCGGAAUUCCGAGUGUAGCGGUGAAAUGCGUAGAUAUUCGGAGGAACACCAGUGGCGAAGGCGGCCUACUGGGCUCUUACUGACGCUGAGGCUCGAAAGUGUGGGGAGCAAACAGGAUUAGAUACCCUGGUAGUCCACACUGUAAACGAUGAUUGCUAGGUGUGGGGGGUCUGACCCCUUCCGUGCCGGAGUUAACGCAAUAAGCAAUCCACCUGGGGAGUACGGCCGCAAGGUUGAAACUUAAAGGAAUUGACGGGG
RNAcentral lists this ribosomal RNA (396 nucleotides) under uncultured bacterium. RNAcentral describes it as "partial 16S ribosomal RNA". It matches the Rfam family "Bacterial small subunit ribosomal RNA", at positions 523 to 918 of the family's 1533-position model. The record is from RNAcentral.